UACGGGGGGAGCAAGCGUUGUUCGGAAUUACUGGGCGUAAAGGGCGCGUAGGCGGCCUACUAAGUCAGACGUGAAAUCCCCCGGCUUAACCUGGGAACUGCGUCUGAUACUGGAAGGCUUGAGGAUGGGAGAGGGAUGUAGAAUUCCAGGUGUAGCGGUGAAAUGUGUUGAUAUCGGAAGGAACGCCGGUGGCGAAAGCGAUCCGCUGGACCUCUUCUGACACUGAGGCGCGAAAGCCAGGGGAGCAAACGGG
This 253-nucleotide ribosomal RNA is filed under the name uncultured bacterium. Its description in RNAcentral is "partial 16S ribosomal RNA". It matches the Rfam family "Bacterial small subunit ribosomal RNA", at positions 524 to 776 of the family's 1533-position model. The record is from RNAcentral.